RNAcentral lists this ribosomal RNA (774 nucleotides) under uncultured Neocallimastigales. RNAcentral describes it as "partial large subunit ribosomal RNA". It matches the Rfam family "Eukaryotic large subunit ribosomal RNA", at positions 18 to 605 of the family's 3401-position model. The record is from RNAcentral. Lineage: Eukaryota; Fungi; Neocallimastigomycota; Neocallimastigomycetes; Neocallimastigales.
UCAGACGAUGCGUCAUGCAUAUCAAUAAGCGGAGGAAAAGAAACUAACAAGGAUUCCCUUAGUAACGGCGAGUGAAGCGGGAAGAGCUCAAAUUUGAAAUCUUCAAGGUUUUACCUUGACGAAUUGUAGUUUAAAGAAGUGUUUUCUGCUGAAGUUUUGGUAAAAGUUCUUUGGAAUAGGACAUCAUAGAGGGUGAGAAUCCCGUAUUUGACCAUUAUUUUCAGCUUUGUGAUACACUUUCAAAGAGUCGGAUUGUUUGGGAAUGCAGUCCAAAAUGGGUGGUAAAUUUCAUCUAAAGCUAAAUAUUGGCGAGAGACCGAUAGCGAACAAGUACCGUGAGGGAAAGAUAAAAGAACUUUGAAAAGAGAGUUAAACAGUACGUGAAAUUGUCAAAAGGGAAGCGUUUGACACCAGUGUUGUUUUCUCGAAAAUCAAUUAAAAAUGGCUCGAUUUUGUAUUGCUUGAGACCUUAAAAGCUCACUGUACAUUUUUCGUGUCUUUUUUAAUGCACUUUUCGUUUAACAAGUCAACAUCAGUUUCUUUUGUUGUAAAAGGGUCAUUGGAAGGUGGCUUUCUUUUCGGAGAAAGUGUUUAUAGCCUUUGGCCUCUGCAAUCGAAGAGACUGAGGUCUGCAGCGUAGACUCUUCGGGGUUAGAUACAUUUGUGCUAAGUUAUAGCUUUUUAUAGACAACUUGUUGACUAUAAUUAGUCUUGUAGCUUACUCGCUUAUGCUAUUUUACCUACGCUUAGGAUGUUGACGAUCAGCUGAGCGCG